UACGAAGGGGGCUAGCGUUGCUCGGAAUCACUGGGCGUAAAGCGCACGUAGGCGGUCUUUUAAGUCAGGGGUGAAAUCCCCGAGCUCAACUCGGGAACUGCGUCCGAUACUGACAGGCUUGAAUCCGGGAGAGGGAUGCGGAAUUCCAGGUGUAGCGGUGAAAUGCGUAGAUAUCUGGAGGAACACCGGUGGCGAAGGCGGCAUCCUGGACCGGCAUUGACGUUCAGGCACGAAAGCGUGGGGAGCAAACAGG
This 253-nucleotide ribosomal RNA is filed under the name uncultured bacterium. RNAcentral describes it as "partial 16S ribosomal RNA". It matches the Rfam family "Bacterial small subunit ribosomal RNA", at positions 524 to 776 of the family's 1533-position model. The record is from RNAcentral.